GCUCCGUAGGUGAACCUGCGGAGGGAUCAUUACAGAGUCCAUGCCCUACCGGGUAGAUCUCCCACCCUAUGUUAUUAUUACUUUGUUGCUUUGGCGGGCCGUUAGGCUCCGGCCCGACUACCGGCCCCGGCUGGUAAGCGCCCGCCAGAGGACCCAAAACCCUGAAUAUUAGUGUCGUCUGAGUACUAUAUAAUAGUUAAAACUUUCAACAACGGAUCUCUUGGUUCUG
Molecule: unclassified non-coding RNA, 229 nt
Filed under: plant metagenome
Description: partial contains small subunit ribosomal RNA, internal transcribed spacer 1, and 5.8S ribosomal RNA
Source: RNAcentral